This is a long non-coding RNA of Daphnia pulicaria, 374 nucleotides long. RefSeq lists it as uncharacterized. The transcript is spliced from 5 exons. The record is from RefSeq and is a predicted model, not a curated record. Lineage: Eukaryota; Metazoa; Arthropoda; Branchiopoda; Diplostraca; Daphniidae.
UAUUUUUUGACUCAUUUCAAAUAUGCAUCGUCGAUUAGUGAUCUCUCUCCAUUUUGGGGUUUCACAUUUGCAACGGUGCUAGAUCAAUGCUGUGAUUUAUUCUCGGGCUGGAGCUGAUGCACAUGGUGUUUUCUUUCCCUACCGACUGCUUGCUUCAAGUGCGUUCGUUGCUUCAAGGCGGUUUCUGCUUCCGUCGUGUCGGUUUUUUUCACUUGCGUCGCUAGGACUUAUAAGGAACUGAUGCUGUCGGUCAACAGCAGGAUCGUUGGAGGUGCUAAGUAGGUAUUUGGAAAAUGGCCGUAGGUUUCAAUCGCGAUGUAAUAUUCGUUAUAUGUAUGGACUCGUUUGAAUAAACCUGUUUUGCAGAAAUGAAA